CUGAAGGGACAGGAGGGCCAGCCAUGCUCCAGGGUAGCUGAGGGGAUGGUAGACCGGUGACGUGCACUUCAUUUACGAUGUAGGUCACCCGUUUCACUAUCCGUCGGCACCCGGUCCAUCUG
This 122-nucleotide microRNA precursor is filed under the name Cavia porcellus (domestic guinea pig). RNAcentral describes it as "miRNA (ENSCPOG00000019454.2)". The stretch from base 32 to 112 matches the Rfam family "mir-1193 microRNA precursor family". Lineage: Eukaryota; Metazoa; Chordata; Mammalia; Rodentia; Caviidae. RNAcentral also lists the same sequence under 1 other name. The record is from RNAcentral.